This 208-nucleotide ribosomal RNA is filed under the name uncultured bacterium. Its description in RNAcentral is "partial 16S ribosomal RNA". It matches the Rfam family "Bacterial small subunit ribosomal RNA", at positions 568 to 774 of the family's 1533-position model. The record is from RNAcentral.
AGCGCAGGCGGACCGGCAAGUUGGAAGUGAAAACUAUGGGCUCAACCCAUAAAUUGCUUUCAAAACUGCUGGCCUUGAGUAGUGCAGAGGUAGGUGGAAUUCCCGGUCGUAGCGGUGGAAUGCGUAGAUAUCGGGAGGAACACCAGUGGCGAAGGCGACCUACUGGGCACCAACUGACGCUGAGGCUCGAAAGCAUGGGUAGCAAACA